CCUACGGGAGGCAGCAGUGGGGAAUAUUGCGCAAUGGGCGAAAGCCUGAUGCAGCGACGCCGCGUGAGGGAUGAAGGUCUUCGGAUCGUAAACCUCUGUCAGCAGUGAAGAACGGUCACUGUGCUAAUCAGCAGUGAAUUGACGGUACCUGCAACGGAAGCACCGGCUAACUCCGUGCCAGCAGCCGCGGUAAUACGGAGGGUGCGAGCUGUAAUCGGAAUUACUGGGCGUAAAGCGCUCGUAGGCGGUAUGUCAAGUCAAGGGUGAAAUCCCCGCGCUGAACGUGGGAACUGCCUUUGAAACUGGCAAACUGGAGUGUGUGAGAGGAUAGUGGAAUUCCAGGUGUAGGAGUGAAAUCAGUAGAUAUCUGGAGGAACAUCAGUGGCGAAGGCGACUAUCUGGCACAUAACUGACGCUGAGGAGCGAAAGCGUGGGUAGCAAACAGGAUUAGAUACCCGUGUAGUC
RNAcentral lists this ribosomal RNA (465 nucleotides) under uncultured bacterium. RNAcentral's name for it is "partial 16S ribosomal RNA". It matches the Rfam family "Bacterial small subunit ribosomal RNA", at positions 338 to 795 of the family's 1533-position model. The record is from RNAcentral.